CACGUAGGGUGCGAACGUUAUCCGGAUUUAUUGGGCGUAAAGAGCGUGUAGGCGGCCAGACAGGUCCGUUGUGAAAACUCGAGGCUCAACCUCGAGAUGUCGAUGGAAACUGUCUGGCUAGAGUCCGGAAGAGGAGUGUGGAAUUCCUGGUGUAGCGGUGAAAUGCGCAGAUAUCAGGAAGAACACCUAUGGCGAAGGCAGCACUCUGGGACGGUACUGACGCUGAGACGCGAAAGCGUGGGGAGCGAACAGG
Molecule: ribosomal RNA, 253 nt
Filed under: uncultured bacterium
Lineage: Bacteria
Description: partial 16S ribosomal RNA
Rfam family: Bacterial small subunit ribosomal RNA
Source: RNAcentral